This 496-nucleotide ribosomal RNA is filed under the name uncultured bacterium. Its description in RNAcentral is "partial 16S ribosomal RNA". It matches the Rfam family "Bacterial small subunit ribosomal RNA", at positions 29 to 506 of the family's 1533-position model. The record is from RNAcentral.
ACGCACGCUGGCGGCGUGCCUAAUACAUGCAAGUCGAACGAGAGCAACCGGUGCUUGCACUGGUCAAUCUAGUGGCGAACGGGUGAGUAACACGUGGGUAACCUGCCCAUCAGAGGGGGAUAACAUCCGGAAACGGAUGCUAAAACCGCAUAGGUCUUCGAACCGCAUGGUUUGAAGAGGAAAAGAGGCGCAAGCUUCUGCUGAUGGAUGGACCCGCGGUGCAUUAGCUAGUUGGUGAGGUAACGGCUCACCAAGGCCGUGAUGCAUAGCCGACCUGAGAGGGUGAUCGGCCACAUUGGGACUGAGACACGGCCCAAACUCCUACGGGAGGCAGCAGUAGGGACUCUUCCGCAAUGGACGCAAGUCUGACGGAGCAACGCCGCGUGAGUGAAGAAGGUUUUCGGAUCGUAAAACUCUGUUGUUAGAGAAGAACAAGUGCUAGAGUAACUGUUAGCGCCUUGACGGUAUCUAACCAGAAAGCCACGGCUAACUACGU